RNAcentral lists this ribosomal RNA (725 nucleotides) under uncultured bacterium. Its description in RNAcentral is "bacterial SSU rRNA". It matches the Rfam family "Bacterial small subunit ribosomal RNA", at positions 45 to 752 of the family's 1533-position model. The record is from RNAcentral.
UGCUAAUACAUGCAAGUCGAGCGGACCGAAAAGAAGCUUGCUUCUAUUCGGUUAGCGGCGGACGGGUGAGUAACACGUGGGCAACCUGCCCGUAAGACCGGGAUAACUUCGGGAAACCGGAGCUAAUACCGGAUAACACGAAAGACCGCAUGGUCUUUCGUUGAAAGGCGGCGAAAGCUGUCACUUACGGAUGGGCCCGCGGCGCAUUAGCUAGUUGGUGAGGUAACGGCUCACCAAGGCGACGAUGCGUAGCCGACCUGAGAGGGUGAUCGGCCACACUGGGACUGAGACACGGCCCAGACUCCUACGGGAGGCAGCAGUAGGGAAUCUUCCGCAAUGGACGAAAGUCUGACGGAGCAACGCCGCGUGAGCGAAGAAGGACUUCGGAUUGUAAAGCUCUGUUGUUAGGGAAGAACAAGUACCGCAGUAACUGGCGGUACCUUGACGGUACCUAACGAGAAAGCCACGGCUAACUACGUGCCAGCAGCCGCGGUAAUACGUAGGUGGCAAGCGUUGUCCGGAAUUAUUGGGCGUAAAGCGCGCGCAGGCGGUCCUUUAAGUCUGAUGUGAAAGCCCACGGCUCAACCGUGGAGGGUCAUUGGAAACUGGGGGUCUUGAGUGCAGAAGAGGAGAGCGGAAUUCCACGUGUAGCGGUGAAAUGCGUACAGAUGUGGAGGAACACCAGUGGCGAAGGCGGCUCUCUGGUCUGUAACUGACGCUGAGGC